CAGGCAGAGGCUGCAGAUCUAGACAGGUGAAGGGAGAAGGAGGGACAGAAAAAACGACACGGAGAGAACAAGAAACAGUGUGAGACUCAUUUAAACGUUGCUGGUUCUGCAAAUGCACUCAUGACUGAACUCAUGUCCUAGAAACUUUAUGAAAAUGGCCACAGCCUCCUGGUUCUACAGCCUUCGGACUCUGCACCACCCUGAAGACACACCUUGCAUGAGCCCUAGCUCAGGCAAACACAGCAGGAGCCCAGGGCCACAUGCACUGCCAAGCUCCCAUCUUCAGCCCGGGCUCACUGGCUCCCAGCCCUGCUCUCUGCACCAGGAGCUCUGAUCUGCUGGCGCAGGGGUUCAACACCAGGGUUUGCCCAGCCGCGGCCAAGGGUGAGCUGGGAGGGAGCUGUCAGCAAUAAAGAGUACAUGGGCUUGAUCUGCA
This 436-nucleotide long non-coding RNA is filed under the name Junco hyemalis (dark-eyed junco). RNAcentral describes it as "lncRNA (ENSJHYG00000013349.1)". The record is from RNAcentral. Lineage: Eukaryota; Metazoa; Chordata; Aves; Passeriformes; Passerellidae.